Molecule: ribosomal RNA, 506 nt
Filed under: uncultured bacterium
Lineage: Bacteria
Description: partial 16S ribosomal RNA
Rfam family: Bacterial small subunit ribosomal RNA
Source: RNAcentral
AGAGAACGCUGGCGGUAGGCCUAACACAUGCAAGUCGAACGGCAGCGCAGGAGAGCUUGCUCUCUGGGUGGCGAGUGGCGGACGGGUGAGGAAUACAUCGGAAUCUACUUUUUCGUGAGGGAUAACGUAGGGAAACUUACGCUAAUACCGCAUACGACCUACGGGUGAAAGCAGGGGACCUUCGGGUCUUGCGCGAUUGAAUGAGCCGAUGUCGGAUUAGCUAGUUGGCGGGGUAAAGGCCCACCAAGGCGACGAUCCGUAGCUGGUCUGAGAGGAUGAUCAGCCACACUGGAACUGAGACACGGUCCAGACUCCUACGGGAGGCAGCAGUGGGGAAUAUUGGACAAUGGGCGCAAGCCUGAUCCAGCCAUACCGCGUGGGUGAAGAAGGCCUUCGGGUUGUAAAGCCCUUUUGUUGGGAAAGAAAUCCAGCUGGCUAAUACCCGGUUGGGAUGACGGUGCCCAAAGAAUAAGCACCGGCUAACUUCGUGCCAGCCGCCGCGGUAA